GGGGCGCCGGUGGGGGCAGGCCCCGCCCAAGGAGCGGGAGGGCGCGCUGUCCUCGGCGUUCAAGGCCCUGCCCGUGGGUGCCGUGCCUCCGCCACCCAGUGCCUCGCUAACCCCCAGAACCCUGGGCCGCGGACAGAAUAACUGUGGUUCCCAGGUAUUGCCCCAUCCCGGGCCCUGGCAUUUAAUGUUCCUCCUGCCAGAAACCCCCUUCCCGUCUUUGGCUAUUUGCCUUAGGGUCUGGGCUUCCACUCUUCUUGUGGGCUUUCCCAGAAACCACCCCCCACCCCCUCCCCGGCUCCACGGCCUCAGCGACCCCCAUAGGGGCACAGACUCUGGUCAUCCGCAACCUGCAGACUCCUAGCCCCAGAGUUCCAGGAGGGCACCCUUGCAGCAGCCAGCCUGGACCUGGCGCUUGCUUGCAUGGAUUUGCUGUAGAAGGAACAACUAACCCGAUGGAAUUUGCUCUCGUCUCUGUGUGCCCCAUCAAUGGACUGGGUGCCCCCCUCAUCUGAGUUCCUCCUCCUGUCCUGCCUCAGGGCCUGGGCUGUGGCCUCCAGGACUGAGCCUGACCUGAUCCAAGGGGACUCAGAGAGGCUACCUCCUGGAGCUUUUGAAGUCACCCAUCCUCCAGGCUCCAGACAGGUACCCCCAAAGUCUCCCGGCCCAGCUUCUUGGCCACAUAUCCAAGAUCCCAAGACUUUCCUGGGCAGUGCGAAUGUCUGUGACUUUUUCCGUGCCACGGACGACUGGAGCAUUUGGUGACACUUUCAUACCUUGCCUUGUUUGUAAAAGCAUAACAAAUACAUAGGAUUGAUUACACAGGAAGCCAGUUAACUUGAAAUACAGCUAUCGGGAUUUUUAAAGAUUACAUUCAUGAUGUCAUAAUAAAUGUGCUUCUUUAUUAAGCAUUAACAAGAUCCAGCAGCAGGUCUUAAAAGGAGUAGUGAGGAAGGGUCCUGAUAAAAGAGAUACAGGAAGGUUGGAGUCAGAGAGAGAGAAGUUGGAAGAUGCUUUCUUGCUGGCUUUGGAGAAGGAGGAAGGAGCCACAAGCUGAGGACGGUGGGCGGCCUCAAGAAGCUAGAAAAGA
This is a long non-coding RNA of Canis lupus familiaris (dog), 1087 nucleotides long. RefSeq lists it as uncharacterized. The transcript has 2 exons. Lineage: Eukaryota; Metazoa; Chordata; Mammalia; Carnivora; Canidae. The record is from RefSeq and is a predicted model, not a curated record.